GAGUUCGAUCCUGGCUCAGGAUGAACGCUGGCGGCGUGCCUAACACAUGCAAGUCGAGCGGAGCAGUCUUGAUGAAGUUUUCGGAUGGAAUCAGGAUUGACUUAGCGGCGGACGGGUGAGUAACACGUGGAUAACCUGCCUUAUACUGGGGGAUAACAGCCAGAAAUGGCUGCUAAUACCGCAUAAGCGCACGGCGCCGCAUGGCGCAGUGUGAAAAACCACGGUGGUACAGGAUGGCCCCGCGUCUGAUUAGUUGGUUGGCAGGGUAACGGCCUACCAAGACGGCGAUCAGUAGCCGGCCUGAGAGGGUGAACGGCCACACUGGGACUGAGACACGGCCCAGACUCCUGCGGGAGGCAGCAGUGGGGAAUAUUGCACAAUGGGGGAAACCCUGAUGCAGCGACGCCGCGUGAGCGAGGAAGUAUUUCGGUAUGUAAAGCUCUGUCAGCAGGGAAGAAGAAUGACGGUACCUGAAGAAGAAGCCCCGGCUAACUACGUGCCAGCAGCCGCGGUAAUACGUAGGGGGCAAGCGUUAUCCGGAUUUACUGGGUGUAAAGGGAGCGUAGACGGAAUUGCAAGUCUGAUGUGAAAAUCCGGGGCCCAACCCCGGAACUGCAUUGGAAACUGUAUUUC
This 633-nucleotide ribosomal RNA is filed under the name uncultured bacterium. RNAcentral's name for it is "bacterial SSU rRNA". It matches the Rfam family "Bacterial small subunit ribosomal RNA", at positions 9 to 641 of the family's 1533-position model. The record is from RNAcentral.